UGGGGAAUCUUAGACAAUGGGGGCAACCCUGAUCUAGCCAUGCCGCGUGAGUGAUGAAGGCCUUAGGGUUGUAAAGCUCUUUCAGCUGGGAAGAUAAUGACGGUACCAGCAGAAGAAGCCCCGGCUAACUCCGUGCCAGCAGCCGCGGUAAUACGGAGGGGGCUAGCGUUGUUCGGAAUUACUGGGCGUAAAGCGCACGUAGGCGGACUGGAAAGUUGGGGGUGAAAUCCCGGGGCUCAACCUCGGAACUGCCUUCAAAACUAUCAGUCUGGAGUUCGAGAGAGGUGAGUGGAAUUCCGAGUGUAGAGGUGAAAUUCGUAGAUAUUCGGAGGAACACCAGUGGCGAAGGCGGCUCACUGGCUCGAUACUGACGCUGAGGUGCGAUAGCGUGGGGAGCAAACA
Molecule: ribosomal RNA, 402 nt
Filed under: uncultured bacterium
Lineage: Bacteria
Description: partial 16S ribosomal RNA
Rfam family: Bacterial small subunit ribosomal RNA
Source: RNAcentral